RNAcentral lists this ribosomal RNA (252 nucleotides) under uncultured bacterium. RNAcentral's name for it is "partial 16S ribosomal RNA". It matches the Rfam family "Bacterial small subunit ribosomal RNA", at positions 526 to 779 of the family's 1533-position model. The record is from RNAcentral.
CGUAGGGUGCAAGCGUUAAUCGGAAUUACUGGGCGUAAAGCGUGCGCAGGCGGUUUUGUAAGUCUGACGUGAAAUCCCCGGGCUCAACCUGGGAAUUGCGUUGGAGACUGCAAGGCUAGAAUCUGGCAGAGGGGGUAGAAUUCCACGUGUAGCAGUGAAAUGCGUAGAGAUGUGGAGGAACACCGAUGGCGAAGGCAGCCCCCUGGGUCAAGAUUGACGCUCAUGCACGAAAGCGUGGGAGCAAACAGGAUU